RNAcentral lists this ribosomal RNA (450 nucleotides) under uncultured bacterium. Its description in RNAcentral is "partial 16S ribosomal RNA". It matches the Rfam family "Bacterial small subunit ribosomal RNA", at positions 354 to 796 of the family's 1533-position model. The record is from RNAcentral.
GUGGGGAAUAUUGGACAAUGGGCGAAAGCCUGAUCCAGCCAUGCCGCGUGUGUGAAGAAGGUCUUCGGAUUGUAAAGCACUUUAAGUUGGGAGGAAGGGCAGUAAGUUAAUACCUUGCUGUUUUGACGUUACCGACAGAAUAAGCACCGGCUAACUUCGUGCCAGCAGCCGCGGUAAUACUAAGGGUGCAAGCGUUAAUCGGAAUUACUGGGCGUAAAGCGCGCGUAGGUGGUUUUGUAAGUUGGAGGUGAAAUCCCCGGGCUCAACCUGGGAACUGCCUCCAAAACUGCAUGACUAGAGUACGGUAGAGGGUAGUGGAAUUUCCUGUGUAGCGGUGAAAUGCGUAGAUAUAGGAAGGAACACCAGUGGCGAAGGCGACUACCUGGACUGAUACUGACACUGAGGUGCGAAAGCGUGGGGAGCAAACAGGAUUAGAAACCCCGGUAGUCC